This 250-nucleotide ribosomal RNA is filed under the name uncultured bacterium. RNAcentral describes it as "partial 16S ribosomal RNA". It matches the Rfam family "Bacterial small subunit ribosomal RNA", at positions 524 to 773 of the family's 1533-position model. The record is from RNAcentral.
UACAGAGGGUGCGAGCGUUAAUCGGAAUUACUGGGCGUAAAGGGCGCGUAGGUGGUUAAUUAAGUCAGAUGUGAAAUCCCUGGGCUUAACCUAGGAAUUGCAUAUGAAACUGAUUAGCUGGAGUACGGGAGAGGGAAGUGGAAUUUCCGGUGUAGCGGUGAAAUGCGUAGAUAUCGGAAGGAACACCAGUGGCGAAGGCGACUUCCUGGCCCGUUACUGACACUGAGGCGCGAAAGCGUGGGGAGCGAAC